RNAcentral lists this ribosomal RNA (861 nucleotides) under uncultured bacterium. Its description in RNAcentral is "bacterial SSU rRNA". It matches the Rfam family "Bacterial small subunit ribosomal RNA", at positions 26 to 916 of the family's 1533-position model. The record is from RNAcentral.
AGGAUGAACGCUGGCGGCGUGCCUAACACAUGCAAGUCGAGCGAUUCUCUUCGGAGAAGAGCGGCGGACGGGUGAGUAACGCGUGGGUAACCUGCCCUGUACACACGGAUAACAUACCGAAAGGUAUGCUAAUACGAGAUAAUAUGCUUUUAUCGCAUGGUAGAAGUAUCAAAGUUUUUGCGGUACAGGAUGGACCCGCGUCUGGUUAGCUAGUUGGUAAGGUAACGGCUUACCAAGGCGACGAUCAGUAGCCGACCUGAGAGGGUGAUCGGCCACAUUGGAACUGAGACACGGUCCAAACUCCUACGGGAGGCAGCAGUGGGGAAUAUUGCACAAUGGGCGAAAGCCUGAUGCAGCAACGCCGCGUGAGCGAUGAAGGCCUUCGGGUCGUAAAGCUCUGUCCUCAAGGAAGAUAAUGACGGUACUUGAGGAGGAAGCCCCGGCUAACUACGUGCCAGCAGCCGCGGUAAUACGUAGGGGGCUAGCGUUAUCCGGAAUUACUGGGCGUAAAGGGUGCGUAGGUGGUUUCUUAAGUCAGAGGUGAAAGGCUACGGCUCAACCGUAGUAAGCCUUUGAAACUGGGAAACUUGAGUGCAGGAGAGGAGAGUGGAAUUCCUAGUGUAGCGGUGAAAUGCGUAGAUAUUAGGAGGAACACCAGUUGCGAAGGCGGCUCUCUGGACUGUAACUGACACUGAGGCACGAAAGCGUGGGGAGCAAACAGGAUUAGAUACCCUGGUAGUCCACGCUGUAAACGAUGAGUACUAGCUGUCGGAGGUUACCCCCUUCGGUGGCGCAGCUAACGCAUUAAGUACUCCGCCUGGGAAGUACGCUCGCAAGAGUGAAACUCAAAGGAAUUGACGG